Mercenaria mercenaria is the source of this 1484-nucleotide RNA transcript. RefSeq lists it as uncharacterized. The record is from RefSeq and is a predicted model, not a curated record. NCBI's taxonomy places the organism in Eukaryota, Metazoa, Mollusca, Bivalvia, Venerida, Veneridae. The transcript is spliced from 3 exons.
UUCAUCAAGAAAGUGAAAAUGGACUUUUACAAACUCUUUAUCAAUGUGUACUGUAUAUUUGUUACUUUAUGCCUGACAAACUGCGAAGAAUGUGUAAAGGUGGACAACUGUCGGUGCAGAACUUCUAAGGGAACUGUAGACUUAAAUAGGAUGCCGAAAUCAUCAUCAAUAAUCAACAUUAAAUGUAAUAGAAGUACACCGGGAUUAUUGACCUCAGUAACAGAAGGCCCUAUACCAGCGUUUGUACGAAACAAAAUACAUGGAUAUAUUGACAUUUACAAGACUUAGUGCUAUUUCAUCUGGAAGCAACUUUGGAUAUAAUAUAAUUCUUGGCUUUAUCUGAUAACUGUUUUCACAUUACUUAUCAAGAUAUGACAUACGGUGACAGCUGAGAGGGCGGCAAUAUGAGAUGCUCAAUAUGUUAUCUGGAUUUCUGAAUGACAUUUCCUUCGGAGCAACAAUAUCCUUAUCAGUAGGGAAAUCAAUAUGAAUACAGAGAACAGUUUUACAUACUAAAUACUGAAUGUGUUUAGUUCAUACUUAUUUAUUUUAGCUAGAUUGUGAUGAAAGCUUCAAGUUUAUUUCAACCACUCUUGAGUCCUCAACCUGGAGAAACAAGUACUGGUGUCAUAUCUAUUUGACUGAUUUAUAGAUUAUUGUUAAAUUACGUCAAAUCAGUAUCAUAUACAUGUAAUGGUUAAUUAUUGAUUCAUUGUGUUGAGUAUUAUAUUUAAUAUUCAGAGAUAAUGGUAGAACAUUUGUAAAUUGCUUUUGAAUUUUCACUGUUUGUGGAAAUCGUACAAUUUCAAUUUCAAGUGUUUGCCUUAUGUUUGUUUCUUAAUAUUACAAGAUAUGUAAUCAGUGUUUAAAUACGCCUGAUCGCUAUAAGCUAUUGAAAUAAUUUCUAUUUAAAUUUGCAAGCAAAUAUAAUCAUUACUUUGUCAUCUUGUAAAACUUGAAAAUCUGUUAUAUAUUUUGUUUUCUUCCUUUUCAGAACAUUUUUUCUAUCUAUUGGACUAAUUGCUAGUUAAUGGUGUUGACAUAAUUUAGUGAGUGAACAAUAUGGCUUCCAGACUACUUAAAGUUUUAAAGUACUUCGAAACAUUCUUCUCCUGAAGAUUUUAAUACUUUUGUUUCUGGAAAAAAUGCUUGCAUGAUUAGGUUAGAAAACAAGACUUCCAAUCAGGAUUUAGUAUAUAUGUGUAUAAUGCAUUUACCACAUAAUGUCAUAUUUCUUUUCACCUUUCACAAUUUACGACCAAUGCAAUUAUAUUAAGCAGAUAUAACAAGGAAACAUUGUAUGGAAUGGAUUCUGAAGUCUAGGCAAUUCAUAGUCAAACACUGAGCAAUAUCAAAUUCGAAUGUCGUCGUUAAUAGCAAUGGAAUUUGAACAUUUUAAUGUACCAUAUUACCGCAUCUCUUUCCCGCACUAAUAUAUAUGCUUCCAUAUACAUGUAGCUGGUAGUAAUAAAGUUUGCAUAUUU